AUUGAACGCUGGCGGCAUGCUUUACACAUGCAAGUCGAACGGCAGCACGGGGGCAACCCUGGUGGCGAGUGGCGAACGGGUGAGUAAUGCAUCGGAACGUACCCAGGUCGUGGGGGAUAACGCAGCGAAAGUUGUGCUAAUACCGCAUACGACCUGAAGGGUGAAAGCGGGGGACCGUAAGGCCUCGCGCGAUUGGAGCGGCCGAUGUCUGAUUAGCUAGUUGGUGGGGUAAAGGCCCACCAAGGCGACGAUCAGUAGCGGGUCUGAGAGGAUGAUCCGCCACACUGGGACUGAGACACGGCCCAGACUCCUACGGGAGGCAGCAGUGGGGAAUUUUGGACAAUGGGGGCGAACCCUGAUCCAGCCAUGCCGCGUGCGGGAAGAAGGCCUCGGUUGUAACG
RNAcentral lists this ribosomal RNA (401 nucleotides) under uncultured bacterium. RNAcentral describes it as "bacterial SSU rRNA". It matches the Rfam family "Bacterial small subunit ribosomal RNA", at positions 29 to 430 of the family's 1533-position model. The record is from RNAcentral.